UAUGUUUAAGUAUUUUAUGUAUGAAAGUUUUUGAUACUUUAGGAAUUAGUUAAUUCUAAUAAACAUAU
Molecule: transfer RNA, 68 nt
Filed under: Scolytinae sp. BMNH 1043031
Lineage: Eukaryota; Metazoa; Arthropoda; Insecta; Coleoptera; Curculionidae
Description: tRNA-Gln
Source: RNAcentral